Long non-coding RNA from Monomorium pharaonis (pharaoh ant), 705 nucleotides. RefSeq lists it as uncharacterized. The record is from RefSeq and is a predicted model, not a curated record. The transcript has 3 exons. NCBI's taxonomy places the organism in Eukaryota, Metazoa, Arthropoda, Insecta, Hymenoptera, Formicidae.
CUGAAUUAACUGAAGAAAUAGCUCGAAUUGAAGUUUCUUGUGAAAAAAUCCCAAUUUCCUUGAAAGAACUCUUUGAGGAAAAUUCUCAGAAUUUGAAUUGUUUAGAGAAAAAAAUCUUUGCUAAUUUUCUGACAGAAUUUAAUGAUGUAUUUUCUGAAAAUGUUGUUGCGGGAAAUUGUAAUGUUGUCAAACAUGUCAUAAAUGUGCAAGACUCUUCUCCCAUUAAACAGGUACCUCGCCGAAUUCCAAUUCAAAUGAGAGGAGAGGUAGAUAAAAUUGAGGAAAUGCGAUCUCGAGGAGUAAUAGAGGAAUCGCAAAGUCCAUGGGUUUCUCCAACAGUUUUAGUAAAAAAGAAGGAUGGCUUAAUUAGAUUUUGUGUGGAUUUUCGGAAGCUCAAUGCGAUAACUAUAAUAUUAAAGAUUCAUAUCCCCUCCCCAGAAUUGACGAUAUUUUGGAUCAAUUCUCAGACGAUAGAAUAACUAUUGUUAGAAAAAGCUUGAUACAAGCCGCUGAAACAAUAGCAUCUGUACCUUUUCAUGGCGAUAAUUCAGAGAAUAUUCGAUCCAUUGUUAAUAAUUCCAAUCAAAAGCAUGCAAAAGAAAAAAAUUAUUACCUGAGGAGGAAGAGAUAUUAAUAUUAGAAGUACAAAACAGAGAACCACUAUGGAAUUUUAAGUUACCUCUUAUUCAAAGAAAUGGCAGAAUC